This 327-nucleotide ribosomal RNA is filed under the name Triticum aestivum (bread wheat). RNAcentral describes it as "partial small subunit ribosomal RNA". Lineage: Eukaryota; Viridiplantae; Streptophyta; Magnoliopsida; Poales; Poaceae. The record is from RNAcentral.
AUGCUGCCAUCCAUGUUAAUUUUUUUGACUCGUCAUCCAUGUUAUUUUCAAACCUUCAGAAUUACUAAACCUUCUCCUAGAGAAUACCUUGUUAAAAACAAGAGAACAAAACAAAAGGAGAGACACAUUAUGGACUCUGAAGCAAGCAGGCAGAACCUUGGUAUGUCCAACGGUUUUAUGGCUCUGCUGCCGGGCAGAACUCUGCUUGGUUGCACUUGCACAUGCGUAGGCAGUAGGCUGUUGAAGGCUUCAAGGCAUUGGCUCUGUGCCUCUGUAUCACUGUGUGCAUGCCGUGCCACAGUAUGGAGACCUAUGUCAUCAGAGUGA